CUAAAUGCGGAAGAGAUAAGUGCUGAAAGCAUCUAAGCACGAAACUUGCCCCGAGAUGAGUUCUCCCUGAGACUUUAAGUCUCCUGAAGGAACGUUAAAGACGAUGACGUUGAUAGGCCGGGUGUGUAAGCGCAGCGAUGCGUUGAGCUAACCGGUACUAAUGAACCGUGAGGCUUAACCUUACAACGCCGAAG
This 194-nucleotide ribosomal RNA is filed under the name Klebsiella pneumoniae. RNAcentral describes it as "partial 23S ribosomal RNA". It matches the Rfam family "Bacterial large subunit ribosomal RNA", at positions 2749 to 2925 of the family's 2925-position model. The record is from RNAcentral. Lineage: Bacteria; Pseudomonadati; Pseudomonadota; Gammaproteobacteria; Enterobacterales; Enterobacteriaceae.